ACAGAGGGUGCGAGCGUUGUCCGGAAUCACUGGGCGUAAAGGGCGCGUAGGUGGCGGCCCAAGUCUGUGGUGAAAGCUCGAUGCUCAACAUCGAGUCGGCCACGGAUACUGGGUUGCUCGAGCACUGUAGGGGCAGAUGGAAUUCCGGGUGUAGCGGUGGAAUGCGUAGAGAUCCGGAAGAACACCGGUGGCGAAGGCGGUCUGCUGGGCAGUUGCUGACACUGAGGCGCGACAGCGUGGGGAGCAAACAGGA
RNAcentral lists this ribosomal RNA (253 nucleotides) under uncultured prokaryote. Its description in RNAcentral is "partial 16S ribosomal RNA". It matches the Rfam family "Bacterial small subunit ribosomal RNA", at positions 525 to 777 of the family's 1533-position model. The record is from RNAcentral.